RNAcentral lists this non-coding RNA (30 nucleotides) under Homo sapiens (human). Lineage: Eukaryota; Metazoa; Chordata; Mammalia; Primates; Hominidae. The record is from RNAcentral.
UGCUAUGGGGUAUUCUGGACUCUGUGGGUC